Molecule: long non-coding RNA, 348 nt
Filed under: Penaeus japonicus
Lineage: Eukaryota; Metazoa; Arthropoda; Malacostraca; Decapoda; Penaeidae
Description: uncharacterized LOC122256414
Source: RNAcentral
AAUACAGACCUAACACAUCAAUUUCAGCCUUUUCUUGGCACCCAACGCAUGAAAAUAGAAUCCUAACUGCUUCUUACACAGGGAAGCUCAUAGACUAUUACGUCCAAGAGAGAAUAACCCUCAACUGGUCUUCCUCAACAUCAAGUUCUUUAAUGUGGACUCAUGGGAAGAAAACUCUAUACUACCUAGAUUCUCAGCAUCCAGUUUACUCUAACUUUGAAGACAUUUCUAUAUCCAUUAUGUCAAGAGCACAGAAGAAGUAUGGUCUUUAUGAAGAUAAUUUGGCUACAAAUGGAGAAGUUACUGGUGACAUGUCUCUGCGUAGAUCUGUGGAAUUGGUUGGAUGCC